RNAcentral lists this ribosomal RNA (253 nucleotides) under uncultured bacterium. RNAcentral describes it as "partial 16S ribosomal RNA". It matches the Rfam family "Bacterial small subunit ribosomal RNA", at positions 524 to 776 of the family's 1533-position model. The record is from RNAcentral.
UACGUAGGGUGCAGGCGUUACUCGGAAUUACUGGGCGUAAAGCGUGCGCAGGCGGUCUCUUAAGACAGGUGUGAAAUCCCCGGGCUUAACCUGGGAACUGCGCUUGUAACUGAGAGGCUAGAGUGUGGCAGAGGGGGGUGGAAUUCCACGUGUAGCAGUGAAAUGCGUAGAUAUGUGGAGGAACACCGAUGGCGAAGGCAGCCCCCUGGGCUAACACUGACGCUCAUGCACGAAAGCGUGGAGAGCAAACAGG